Molecule: ribosomal RNA, 365 nt
Filed under: uncultured eukaryote
Lineage: Eukaryota
Description: partial 18S ribosomal RNA
Rfam family: Eukaryotic small subunit ribosomal RNA
Source: RNAcentral
CAAUAGCGUAUAUUUAAGUUGUUGCAGUUAAAAAGCUCGUAGUCGGAUUUUGGCUGAGAACGAUCGGUCCGCCGUUAGGUGUGCACUGAUUGGUCUCAGCUUCCUGGUGAGGAGGUGUGCUUCACGGCCACUUAGUCACCGUGGUUACUUUGAAAAAAUUAGAGUGUUCAAAGCGGGCUUACGCUUGAAUAUUUCAGCAUGGAAUAACACUAUAGGACUCCUGUCCUAUUUCGUUGGUCUCGGGACGGGAGUAAUGAUUAAGAGGAACAGUUGGGGGCAUUCGUAUUUCAUUGUCAGAGGUGAAAUUCUUGGAUUUAUGAAAGACGAACUUCUGCGAAAGCAUUUGCCAAGGAUGUUUUCAUUGA